This 843-nucleotide ribosomal RNA is filed under the name Tetracheilostoma sp. SBH-2017c. RNAcentral's name for it is "partial 16S ribosomal RNA". The stretch from base 307 to 843 matches the Rfam family "Archaeal large subunit ribosomal RNA", at positions 1423 to 2619 of the family's 2987-position model. Lineage: Eukaryota; Metazoa; Chordata; Lepidosauria; Squamata; Leptotyphlopidae. The record is from RNAcentral.
GCUCUAAUGAAACGGGAUACAACCCAAAUUUGAGAGGAAACAAACCAGUGACACCAGUAGGCCUUAAAGCAGCCCCCUAUAAAAACAGCGUCAAAGCAAUAAGACAAAAAUCCAACAAAAAUCACACACCUCCAAAACAAACUAACGCAACUCUAUACUAAUAGAAGAUAUAAUGCUAGAACUAAUAAUAAGAACCAAUCUCAAGACAUGUUCGUCAGUCAGAAAUAGACACACUACUGAUAGUUAUCAGGCACGAGUAGGCAAACACAUUCUCAGGCCUACACCACACUGUGACCCCAACACAGGCAUGUCACAAAUGAAAGAUAAAAAGCUAUAAAAGGAACUCGGCAAUCAACGAUCUCAACUGUUUACCAAAAACAUAGCCUUUAGCAAAACAAGUAUUAAAGGUGAUGCCUGCCCAGUGAAGUUUUUUAACGGCCGCGGUACCCUAACCGUGCAAAGGUAGCAUAAUCACUUGUCCACUAAUUAUGGACUGGCAUGAAAGGCCACAUGAAGAUCAAACUGUCUCUUAUAGCCAAUCAAUGAAACUGAUCUUACAGUCCAAAAGCUGUAAUACGCCCAUAAGACGAGAAGACCCUGUGAAACUUCAAAAACUUCUAUACAACACCACUAUAGAAUAUUUUCAGUUGGGGCGACUUUGGAAAAAACAAAACUUCCAAACAAACGGGGUGCACCACCACAUACAGGCAAACACGCCUAUCAUACGAUCCAGUAAAUCUGACAAAUGAACCAAGCUACUCCAGGGAUAACAGCGCUAUCUUCUUCAAGAGCCCAUAUCAAAAAGAAGGCUUACGACCUCGAUGUUGGAUCAGGGCACCCAAG